This 158-nucleotide non-coding RNA is filed under the name Streptomyces acidiscabies. RNAcentral's name for it is "Streptomyces sRNA scr5239". It matches the Rfam family "Streptomyces sRNA scr5239". Rfam says of the family: It inhibits agarase DagA expression by direct base pairing to the dagA coding region, and it represses translation of methionine synthase metE (SCO0985) at the 5' end of its open reading frame. The record is from Rfam by way of RNAcentral. Lineage: Bacteria; Bacillati; Actinomycetota; Actinomycetes; Kitasatosporales; Streptomycetaceae.
CUUCCGCUCUCCCCGCACAGGAGGGCGGACCGAGGACCCGGUGCUCUCUGCCCUGACUGCUCCGGUUCCUCACCUUUCGGCCGAUCGGGACCGCACACCCCGUGGCCGGGAUUGCUCCGGGCUGCGGUGCCGCGAGGGUUGAGGGUCCCUCCAGGCGC